AACGAACGCUGGCGGCAUGCCUAACACAUGCAAGUCGAACGAGACCUUCGGGUCUAGUGGCGCACGGGUGCGUAACGCGUGGGAACCUGCCCUUAGGUUCGGAAUAACUCCCCGAAAGGGGUGCUAAUACCGGAUAAUGUCUUCGGACCAAAGAUUUAUCGCCUUUGGAUGGGCCCGCGUUGGAUUAGCUAGUUGGUAGGGUAAAAGCCCACCAAGGCGACGAUCCAUAGCUGGUCUGAGAGGAUGAUCAGCCACACUGGGACUGAGACACGGCCCAGACUCCUACGGGAGGCAGCAGUGGGGAAUAUUGGUCAAUGGGCGAAAGCCUGAUCCAGCAAUGCCGCGUGAGUGAUGAAGGCCUUAGGGUUGUAAAGCUCUUUUACCCGGGAUGAUAAUGACAGUACCGGGAGAAUAAGCUCCGGCUAACUCCGUG
This 433-nucleotide ribosomal RNA is filed under the name uncultured bacterium. Its description in RNAcentral is "partial 16S ribosomal RNA". It matches the Rfam family "Bacterial small subunit ribosomal RNA", at positions 29 to 507 of the family's 1533-position model. The record is from RNAcentral.